Artibeus jamaicensis (Jamaican fruit-eating bat) is the source of this 149-nucleotide small nucleolar RNA. RefSeq annotates it as small nucleolar RNA SNORA12. NCBI's taxonomy places the organism in Eukaryota, Metazoa, Chordata, Mammalia, Chiroptera, Phyllostomidae. The record is from RefSeq and is a predicted model, not a curated record. The transcript has a single exon.
CGGUGGAGUGGUUUUCUUUGUGGCACAACCGUUUUAAGUUUACAAAUGGGCCUGACUCUGCCGCAUGUUUUAUAUAGGAGCUGGCAAAGGUUUGAUGACAAAGAUCGCUCUCUAGCUAUUCCCACUCAUGGAAAUUGGUCCCCACAUGU